This 896-nucleotide ribosomal RNA is filed under the name Massilia aurea. RNAcentral describes it as "bacterial SSU rRNA". It matches the Rfam family "Bacterial small subunit ribosomal RNA", at positions 94 to 987 of the family's 1533-position model. The record is from RNAcentral. Lineage: Bacteria; Pseudomonadati; Pseudomonadota; Betaproteobacteria; Burkholderiales; Oxalobacteraceae.
AGUGGCGAACGGGUGAGUAAUAUAUCGGAACGUACCCAAGAGUGGGGGAUAACGUAGCGAAAGUUACGCUAAUACCGCAUACGAUCUAAGGAUGAAAGCAGGGGAUCUUCGGACCUUGUGCUCCUGGAGCGGCCGAUAUCUGAUUAGCUAGUUGGUGAGGUAAAGGCUCACCAAGGCCACGAUCAGUAGCUGGUCUGAGAGGACGACCAGCCACACUGGAACUGAGACACGGUCCAGACUCCUACGGGAGGCAGCAGUGGGGAAUUUUGGACAAUGGGCGAAAGCCUGAUCCAGCAAUGCCGCGUGAGUGAAGAAGGCCUUCGGGUUGUAAAGCUCUUUUGUCAGGGAAGAAACGGUUAGGGCUAAUAUCCCUCGCUAAUGACGGUACCUGAAGAAUAAGCACCGGCUAACUACGUGCCAGCAGCCGCGGUAAUACGUAGGGUGCAAGCGUUAAUCGGAAUUACUGGGCGUAAAGCGUGCGCAGGCGGUUUUGUAAGUCUGACGUGAAAUCCCCGGGCUCAACCUGGGAAUUGCGUUGGAGACUGCAAGGCUAGAAUCUGGCAGAGGGGGGUAGAAUUCCACGUGUAGCAGUGAAAUGCGUAGAGAUGUGGAGGAACACCGAUGGCGAAGGCAGCCCCCUGGGUCAAGAUUGACGCUCAUGCACGAAAGCGUGGGGAGCAAACAGGAUUAGAUACCCUGGUAGUCCACGCCCUAAACGAUGUCUACUAGUUGUCGGGUUUUAAUUAACUUGGUAACGCAGCUAACGCGUGAAGUAGACCGCCUGGGGAGUACGGUCGCAAGAUUAAAACUCAAAGGAAUUGACGGGGACCCGCACAAGCGGUGGAUGAUGUGGAUUAAUUCGAUGCNACGCGAAAAACCUUACCUACCCUUGACAU